UUUCAAACUUCUACCGUAUCA
This 21-nucleotide non-coding RNA is filed under the name Caenorhabditis elegans. The record is from RNAcentral. Lineage: Eukaryota; Metazoa; Nematoda; Chromadorea; Rhabditida; Rhabditidae.